UGUACGUAACAGACAGCCAAAACUGUGUCAACUUCAAGUACUUUCUUCUGCAGCAAAGAAAGUAAGUGAGAGCUACUCUCUCUGUAACUAUGGAGAGUUACUCCAUAGUAGACAUCUAGUUAGGAGACAGAAGGAAGGAGAGCAAGUGGAUGCAAUUGACCCUGCUUGGGAAAUCCUGAAGGCACAGCACUCAGAUGGGCAAUAAC
RNAcentral lists this long non-coding RNA (206 nucleotides) under Pan troglodytes (chimpanzee). RNAcentral describes it as "long non-coding RNA NONPTRT000676". Lineage: Eukaryota; Metazoa; Chordata; Mammalia; Primates; Hominidae. The record is from RNAcentral.